GAUUUCGUCCGUGUAGUAAUCUGGAUCUGAUUCUUGAAGAGAUAGCAUCAUUUCAAUCAUUGUGGUCUUCUUCAAUGGAGGUUUGUUCUUACUCAUUGCCUUCUGUUUCUCCUUUCUGUGUUCUUCUAUUAGAUUCUGAAUCAACUUAUCUCUUUUCUUCCGUAGAUUAAUGUAUCUCUUCUCGAUUUUUCUGCUAAUUCCAGUCCAUUUCAGUAUGGGUAAGUAAUCCACCAGAUUAUUUGCCCCAGCAAGUUUAAACGUUUCCGUAACGAUUUCCUGGAAAUUUAGAGAUUCCUCGGUGU
This 302-nucleotide long non-coding RNA is filed under the name Cucumis sativus (cucumber). RNAcentral's name for it is "long non-coding RNA (CSAT_LNC001623)". Lineage: Eukaryota; Viridiplantae; Streptophyta; Magnoliopsida; Cucurbitales; Cucurbitaceae. The record is from RNAcentral.